UGGGGAAUAUUGCACAAUGGAGGGAACUCUGAUGCAGCAACGCCGCGUGAACGAUGAAGGUCUUCGGAUCGUAAAGUUCUGUUGCAGGGGAAGAUAAUGACGGUACCCUGUGAGGAAGCCCCGGCUAACUACGUGCCAGCAGCCGCGGUAAUACGUAGGGGGCUAGCGUUAUCCGGAUUUACUGGGCGUAAAGGGUGCGUAGGUGGUCUUUCAAGUCGGUGGUUAAAGGCUACGGCUCAACCGUAGUUAGCCUCCGAAACUGGAAGACUUGAGUGCAGGAGAGGAAAGUGGAAUUCCCAGUGUAGCGGUGAAAUGCGUAGAUAUUGGGAGGAACACCGGUGGCGAAAGCGGCUUUUUGGCCUGCAACUGACACUGAGGCGCGAAAGCGUGGGGAGCAAACAGG
RNAcentral lists this ribosomal RNA (403 nucleotides) under Verrucomicrobiota bacterium. RNAcentral describes it as "Verrucomicrobia bacterium partial 16S ribosomal RNA". It matches the Rfam family "Bacterial small subunit ribosomal RNA", at positions 355 to 776 of the family's 1533-position model. Lineage: Bacteria; Pseudomonadati; Verrucomicrobiota. The record is from RNAcentral.